ACGCUCGACACCUACGAGAGGCAGCAGUGGGGAAUAUUGCACAAUGGGGGAAACCCUGAUGCAGCGACGCCGCGUGAGCGAAGAAGUAUUUCGGUACGUAAAGCUCUAUCAGCAGGGAAGAAACUGACGGUACCUGACUAAGAAGCACCGGCUAAAUACGUGCCAGCAGCCGCGGUAAUCUGAGCGGGCUGGCAAGGC
Molecule: ribosomal RNA, 198 nt
Filed under: uncultured bacterium
Lineage: Bacteria
Description: partial 16S ribosomal RNA
Rfam family: Bacterial small subunit ribosomal RNA
Source: RNAcentral